CUCAGCAAUAGGCUUCACCUGGUCCAUCGAUCCCAACGAUCAAUAAACUGUGUUAUUAAACAAGUUUGUUCGUUCGGCUCGAGUUAUUAGGUGAGCCUUGUC
Molecule: non-coding RNA, 102 nt
Organism: Nasonia vitripennis (jewel wasp)
Lineage: Eukaryota; Metazoa; Arthropoda; Insecta; Hymenoptera; Pteromalidae
Gene: Mir375
Product: microRNA mir-375
Exons: 1
Source: RefSeq, marked provisional